RNAcentral lists this ribosomal RNA (440 nucleotides) under uncultured bacterium. RNAcentral's name for it is "partial 16S ribosomal RNA". It matches the Rfam family "Bacterial small subunit ribosomal RNA", at positions 338 to 795 of the family's 1533-position model. The record is from RNAcentral.
CCUACGGGUGGCAGCAGUGGGGAAUAUUGCACAAUGGAGGGAACUCUGAUGCAGCGACGCCGCGUGAGUGAAGAAGUAAUUCGUUAUGUAAAGCUCUAUCAGCAGGGAAGAAAGUGACGGUACCUGAGAAAGAAGCCCCGGCUAAAUACGUGCCAGCAGCCGCGGUAAUACGUAGGGGGCAAGCGUUAUCCGGAUUUACUGGGUGUAAAGGGAGAGUAGGCGGCAGUGCAAGUCCGGAGUGAAAAGCCGGGGCUCAACCCCCGGACUGCUUUGGAAACUGUCCGGCUGGAGUGCAGGAGAGGUAAGUGGAAUUCCUAGUGUAGCGGUGAAAUGCGUAGAUAUUAGGAGGAACACCAGUGGCGAAGGCGGCUUACUGGACUGUAACUGACGUUGAGGCUCGAAAGCGUGGGGAGCAAACAGGAUUAGAUACCCUGGUAGUC